CAGGGAUUGCCUCAGUAACGGCGAGUGAAGCGGCAACAGCUCAAAUUUGAAAUCUGACCCCGUCCGGGGCCCGAGUUGUAAUUUGUAGAGAGUGCUUCGGGCGUGGCCUAGGUCUAAGUUCCUUGGAACAGGGCGUCAUAGAGGGUGAGAAUCCCGUAUGUGACCGGCGAUCCAGCCCAUGUGAAGCCCCUUCGACGAGUCGAGUUGUUUGGGAAUGCAGCUCAAAAUGGGUGGUAAAUUUCAUCUAAAGCUAAAUACCGGCUAGAGACCGAUAGCGAACAAGUAGAGUGAUCGAAAGAUGAAAAGCACUUUGAAAAGAGAGUUAAACAGUACGUGAAAUUGUUGAAAGGGAAGCGCUUGCAAUCAGACCUGUCCAUGGGGGACCUCCGAUAUUCGUAUCGGUUCUACCCUCGCCCAUGAUCAGGCCAGCAUCGGUUUGGGCGGCGGGAUAAAAGCCCCUGGAAUGUAGCUUCUCUCGGGGAGUCUUAUAGCCUAGGGUGGAAUGCCGCCCGCCUGGACCGAGGACCGCGCUUCGGCUAGGAUGCUGGCGUAAUGGUUGCAAGCGACCCGUCUUGAAACACGGACCAAGGAGUCUAACAUCUAUGCGAGUGUUUGGGUGUUAAACCCGGGCGCGAAAUGAAAGUGAACGGAGGUGGGAGCCCGUCAAACGGCGCACCAUCGACCGAUCCAGAUGUCUUCGGAUGGAUUUGAGUAUGAGCAUACCUGUUGGGACCCCAAAGAUGGUGAACUAUGCCUGAAUAGGGUGAAGCCAGAGGAAACUCUGGUGGAGGCUCGCAGCGGUUCUGACGUGCAAAUCGAUCGUCGAAUUUGGGCAUAGGGGCGAAAGACUAAUCGAACCAUCU
This 863-nucleotide ribosomal RNA is filed under the name Nephroma antarcticum. RNAcentral describes it as "LSU rRNA". It matches the Rfam family "Eukaryotic large subunit ribosomal RNA", at positions 69 to 945 of the family's 3401-position model. The record is from RNAcentral. Lineage: Eukaryota; Fungi; Ascomycota; Lecanoromycetes; Peltigerales; Nephromataceae.